Molecule: long non-coding RNA, 793 nt
Organism: Sycon ciliatum
Lineage: Eukaryota; Metazoa; Porifera; Calcarea; Leucosolenida; Sycettidae
Exons: 2
Source: RefSeq, a predicted model, not a curated record
AGCCACUGUCGCAGGGAGAGUGAAGCUGCUGGAAGUAACAACGGGGAGCCCCUUUGUAUCACCUGAACAACCAGACUUCAAAGCAGCUUGACCAAAUCGGAGGGUGCCUCGUUGCUUAUCGUGAAUAUUACACCGACAUGAAUUACUACAAGUAUACUGGUCUGUCCAAUAUGCAUUGACGGUAUUGGGUAUGGUACCUGCUCUGAGAAGGGAAUCGCUGGAGCCACAGUCCAACCGUAUACAGGCUUUCAAGAAACAGAGAGGAGCCAUCUUUGCAAGCUGAUACCUGAUGUGUACGGACAGAAUUCUCACGAGAUACCUUACAGACUAUGCCUGGUGUAUACAUCAUAGUACUCCUUCGACUACUGUCUAGAAUCAAGUCGACUGAAACAAGUUCAAACAACUCUGGCUUCAAACGAGCCGUCGAUUAGACAAACAAAACAUUCUCUCAUAUACUAGAGCACUCUGACAACUCACGACCUAUUCCUAACGAUUGCCACCGCUUAUAAAUAUGUAGAGUACUGAUUGGAAUGUGCUCACAAUCUCAACUAGUCAGUGCUAUAAUUAUUUGAACUAUGUGUUCCUUCCAUAAAUGUUGUAUCCACAUAUAAUCCACAGUGCUGCAAAGUUUCAGAGUUCUCAGGGUAUCAAACAAAAUUAUUUCAAAUACAGUGAAAUUGUUCGUGGACAUUAUUAUAGCGUAACUUGUAGUUCCCUGGUCCUUUUCUUUGCUAUAAAUUUAUUCCUUUGCUCUCUAGCCGCCGGCGAGUCCAACAGUGAAAUUGUUAGUUCA